Molecule: long non-coding RNA, 1929 nt
Organism: Leopardus geoffroyi (Geoffroy's cat)
Lineage: Eukaryota; Metazoa; Chordata; Mammalia; Carnivora; Felidae
Exons: 2
Source: RefSeq, a predicted model, not a curated record
CCCCUGGAUUAAAAAUAGUGGGGGGCGGGGGCGAAGACGCGGAGAUCAGGGGAGGCGCUGAGGGGUGCUCGGGCUCAGAGGACCAAGUGCCCCUAACCGUGGAGCAGGAGGGUGGGGGCGGCACAGGUGCUUUUUGCGGGGUUCUGAAUGGCAGAGGCCUUUUUCUCAAUUUCACGUGAAUCUUGUGAUCUUUGUCUUGCUAGCGGAACGGGCGUUUUUGAGGAAUCGUUAUUUGUACAUUAAAAAAAAAAAAAAGUAAAUCCAACACCGCACAGCCCAGAAACGUUUGCAUUUCAGUAGAAAUGAUGGACUUCCUCGGGUUAAAAGUUCUCAUGUGAGGCAGUGAUGUUUGGUGCUAACCAGAAGGAGAAAGCCAAGAAAGUCAAAGGAGAGCUGACCCAGAAUCCUGAAAUUGCUGAGCUACUGAGUUAACCGGAUCUGGAACUCACCUCCUUCUGGAUUUCGUGUUCUGUGAGACAGUAAAUCUUUAUUGCUUAAGCCACUUUUACCAAUGUCUUGUUGCUUGAGGCCAAACUGAGUAGUUCACACAGUAUGCAUUCCUUGUGUACACUCCCUGUUUUAAGUAAAUCCCAGUGUUUCAGUGGCCGGUGCCUGGAUGGUUUGCCACCUCGCAGAAGAGAACUAACCGAUGGAGUUGACUUCUACACACGUCUGUUUGAGAUGUUAUCUGCUGACAUUUGUAGGCUGAGAAAUUUUUGUUGCUAUACAUGUAACAACUAAGAAUUGGACAAUCUAUAAAAACAUAAAAACCUCUAGUCUCUGUGUGCUUGAACGUACGCAUGCCGAAUGCUUGUAAGAAGUGGUGGUUAAAACUCCAUGGUUUUGUUCCAUUGUUAUUUGUGACUAUAAAUGUAAGCCCUGUUCAUUGUACAAACAUUUGAAGCACAAAAAAGGAUAGUGAAGAAAAUAAUAUCCUAAUAAUCCCACCGUCCAGAUAUAACCCACUAAUAUUUUAUUUAUUUAUUCUGAGAGAGGGAGAGAGAAUCUCAAGCAGGCUCCACAUUCAGCACAGAGCCUGACGCCGGACUCAAUCCCAUGACUGCGAGAUCACAAUCCAAGCUGGUAUCAAGAGUUGGAUGCUCAAUGGACUGAGCCACCCAGGCGCCCCGUUAAUAUUUUAAAUGUAUAUCUUUACAGACUUUUUCUAUAUAUAGUAUAUAUUUUAAUGUAAUAUGCAGUGUGUACUUUAAUAAAAACAAGAUCAUAUUAAACCUAACUCUUUUGUAACCCCCUAAAAAAAAAAAAAAAAACCCUCAGUAAUAAUAUGCAUGUAUUCAGAGUCCUAAAUGUCUCGUGUUUUCCAGGAAGCAGCUGUGAGUUGAUAACAUUCUGUUUCGUCUUCAUGUACACAACGCAUAGGUGUAAAAAUCAUUGGCAAAAAUAGGUGACAGAUGGCAAAAUAGUUUCAUAUAAAAUAUUUUAUUCUUCUGUGCCUCUGCUGUACCCGUCUGAACUUCUACCCUAGUAUCUAUAACAAAUAUUGAACCUAUUUGCUGAACUAGCUUCUUCACCAACUAACUCUUAAAUUCCUGGAUGGGAUGGGGAAAGCAAUGACCAAAUAAACUAAAUUCUUUCUACAUACACAUAUCUAAAUCUACCAGAAUGUGUAAUACAUGCAAAGGUUUAUGGAAUGAAUAAAAAAAAUGCUCGUAUAGUUUUUUUUGGGGUUAUAAUAAAUGUGCUAUAGGCAAAUUUAUACUAUUGGUUGCAUUGAAAUCUCAUUUCAAACCAAUUAAGUUCACGCAAUGAUUAAGAUCACAAAAGAAACAAACAUUGCUUUACUAUCAAUAUCAUCAUAAAUCUUUUAAUGAUUCUAGACUUGAAAUUUCUGCCUGAAGUUCCGUUAUGGACUUGAAUUUUAACCAUUGACAUUUUACCUAACAAUAAACAGCUGAAAGAUAAGCAGAA